Molecule: small RNA, 17 nt
Filed under: Arabidopsis thaliana (thale cress)
Lineage: Eukaryota; Viridiplantae; Streptophyta; Magnoliopsida; Brassicales; Brassicaceae
Description: ATSL217870
Source: RNAcentral
AUAAUAAAUAUAUGAAC